UGUGUCAAUCAUCGAGAGGUGGGGUAACGAGACGGAUUGCUUAUGAUUGCUUCGCUCGACUCUCUGACCCGAACAUUCGUCUCUGCGAAUCAGGGAUCGCUCGACGUAGCUUUGUAUCCCUGAAAUUAAUUUAGUUUCACAUCGUAUUUAUUAGUUGCAUGCAAAAGUUUUAUGCUGCGCGAAUUUUUUGCUUACGUAAACGUAAGCGUUUAAUACGCGUAUCGAUGACAACGCGAUACGCCGGGGUCUGCGAGAACGGACAUUGAACAGUUAUUGGAUAAUUCGGACAGUCGAGCUCCGAUGAUAAUUAACGCCAGUAACCAGUUUUUAUUCGAAUAACCUUAAAUCCGAUUUACAUUAAAUUUAUAAUGACUUUACACGUAGAAUAUUGAAUUAAAACCAAGCAGAUUUUAAUCAGUAGAUUUGGUCAAGUCUAUGGCAGUGGUGAUCGAAUUUUAAUAAAAUAGCAAAAUGUUGAACAAAGUUAACAAGGAAUUGUUGCCCAUAAAAGGCCAUUAUUUUUUAUACAAUGCUGCUACCGGACCAAUUGUACCAUUCCUGCCUACGAUUGCUAAACAAUUAGGAUUUUCCAGUACUCUAGUCGGUUCAAUUUACACCGUACUUCCGAUAUCUGGUUUGAUAGCAAAACCUUUGUUUGGUGGUUUGGCGGACAAGUUCCAAUUGCACAAGACAUUCUUUUUGCUAUUUCAAGCCCUUUUGGCGAUCAGUUUUUUUGGAAUCAAUUUUAUACCAGAAAUACUAACGACCGCAGAGGUCACCGUUACCUGCAACAAUGCUGACGCCUUUGUGGAAAUUCCAUCCGUCGGUGGAUUCAGCAACAAAGUCAUACACAACUUGAUCGGAGCCAAUAACAGCAAUGUUAAUUGCGAGAUGUCCUGUACCGCUUCUAAUCGGGCUUACGAAGAACUCUGUGCUCAUUGGCACGCGGUGCAAUUUUGUAACCAAAUAAAUGUGACGGAUCAUCCGACCGGCAGGAUUAACUUCACCGCCGGUCUCAGCAUGAGCCAAGUCGUUCAGGCAAAAAAUUCCGUAAAUAUUCGCAUGAGGAACGCUACAUUUUCAGACAAUGUCUUACAUACACCUGUGUGCUAUUCCCUGCUAAGAUUGAGCUGCUUAACUAACUGCCCAGAUUCCGCAAGCCUCAGUCGACUGCUCGACGAGUCCAAGGGGCGUUCAAACACGUCGCAGACUUCUACGUACCAGUUUCACUUGUUCUUGUGGCUCGCUAUUAUCAGCUGGAUCGGAAUGGCUGUUGUGGUCAGCAUAGCCGACGCGAUAUGCUUCGGGCUGCUCGGUGAUGGAAAAGAGAAGGAGUACGGAAAGCAAAAGAUGUGGGGUAGCAUCGGAUUUGGAAUUUUUGGCAUCGGCGCAGGAUAUCUCGUUGACCUGUUCAGUCGUGGGCAGACGGAGAAGGAUUAUACUUGUAUAUUCUAUCUGAUGCUUGUCGCAAUGCUGUUGGAUAUAUCGGUGUCUUCGGUUCUGAAAAAACGAGUGAUCAGAGAUCGAGAGCCAUCGGUGCUAUGGGAACUUUGGGCUGUCGGAAGAGAGGGUCGUGUAAUGGCUUUCGGUUGGUGGUGCAUCGGUGCCGGGAUGUGCACAGGUGUAGUUUGGAACUUCCUGUUUUGGUAUACGGAAGAAAUAGCGACCGGAGACCAGAUAAAUUGGCUGAAAACGCUGCAGGGAUUGCUCACUGGCAUUCAAUGUUUCGCCGGAGAAAUGCCCUUUAACUUUCUGUCGGGUGCUGUGCUGAGGCGGCUGGGUCACGUCAACGUGAUGAGCGUGGUGCUUUUGGUGUACGCGAUAAGGUUCAUGGCGUACAGUCUGACUUCGAAUCUGUGGAUAUUUCUGCUCCUAGAAAUACUGCACGGUCCGUCUCUAGGUUUGUGUUGGCCCACGAUGGUGUCUUACGGAGACAAGGUGGCUCCGCCUGGAACAAAGGCUACGAUACAAGGAUUAGUCGGUGCUGUAUUCGAAGGAAUAGGUGUAUCGCUGGGCAGUUUCAUUUGCGGAUUGCUGAUGGACACGUACGGGGGGGUGAUAACCUUCCGCGUGUUUUCAGCGGGUGCGUUGGUGUGGCUAGCGAUCCACUGGCAGUUGCAACUCUGUUUGAUGAAAUCAAAAGCGAAUCCCAUUCACCAAGGCCACAAUCGUGAGUAGCUCGGUCUCGUGGUGGCUCUGGUAUGCUGUUGGUAAUAACGAUAAUAAAGCAAAAGACACAAAUCAGGGAUAGCCUUGAGGCAUGAAACGAAAUAAGCUGCUAAUUCAUUCAACCCUUUGCACAAAAACUAUUAUUCGUACGAACGAUGAAGGUCAACUUGCGCUUGGCAUGAAUUACGUUUGAACAUGACUGGUUACUGGUCUAACAAUGACGGUGAAACAGAUUUGGCAACGUACGCAGCUCCGGACGACGCGAUUCACAUCACAGCCAGCCAGGAACUGCAAACUUAUUGAAUUAAAAGCGCACAGGAUGCGGAAAUCGUAUAGAGCGUACGAUGCACGGUAUUCACACGCGGUAUUUUAGGUUUUAAAACUUACUGUCGGCCAAGUGAAAUCUGUCUACGACUCACCGGAGCGUUCAGAAAGACAAUGAAUUCGACAAUUGGAAGCCAAAGAGUCGUUGGCUCUCUCUGAAUUCGUAAUCUAAUCUGCUGUCAAUUAAUCUUUAUUGCUAUAUAAUACAAUAUAUUUGUCACAACGUAGUUGCAAUCUGUGAAUGAAUUUUUAUGUACAUGAUAGCGUAACGAUUACCUAUUAGCGUCGUUGGACAUUUUUUUAUUUUACGUACGUAUACAUCCAUUAGAUGUUUAAUAUACAUUCAGUAUUAUAUAAAUUAAUUUUUGUAUAUACAUGUGUAUUAAUAUAUUUUGUUUAUUUUUUAUA
Athalia rosae (coleseed sawfly) is the source of this 2901-nucleotide RNA transcript. It is a transcript of the gene named major facilitator superfamily domain-containing protein 6, with no coding region annotated. NCBI's taxonomy places the organism in Eukaryota, Metazoa, Arthropoda, Insecta, Hymenoptera, Athaliidae. The transcript has 9 exons. The record is from RefSeq and is a predicted model, not a curated record.